GAUGAAGAACGCAGUGAAAUGCGAUAAGUAAUGUGAAUUGCAGAAUUCAGUGAAUCAUCGAAUCUUUGAACGCACAUUGCGCCCGCCAGUAUUCUGGCGGGCAUGCCUGUCCGAGCGUCAUUUCAACCCUCGAACCCCUCCGGGGGGUCGGCGUUGGGGACCUCGGGAGCCCCUAAGACGGGAUCCCGGCCCCGAAAUACAGUGGCGGUCUCGCCGCAGCCUCUCCUGCGCAGUAGUUUGCACAACACGCACCGGGAGCGCGGCGCGUCCACGUCCGUAAAACACCCAACUUCUGAAAUGUUGACCUCGGAUCAGGUAGGAAUACCCGCUGAACUUAAGCAUAUCAAUAAGCGGAGGA
This 358-nucleotide unclassified non-coding RNA is filed under the name soil metagenome. RNAcentral's name for it is "partial contains 5.8S ribosomal RNA, internal transcribed spacer 2, and large subunit ribosomal RNA". The stretch from base 1 to 120 matches the Rfam family "5.8S ribosomal RNA", at positions 35 to 154 of the family's 154-position model. The record is from RNAcentral.